UCGGAUGAUAAUCGAUCGAUCGAAUCGAUCUUGAAAUUUGAAAAAGAUCAAGUGGAAAAGGAGAUUAGAUAGACGAUCGAUUUUUUGAGAUUUCCUCUGAUACGAGACGGCGGGGCGAGUUGGAAAAAAUUGCUGGAAGAAAGAUAAUGGAUUUUUUGGUAGAUUUAUUGCGAGCUUGAUAAGACUUGGCACAUUCGCGCGAGUGUAAAAAAUGAAAUAACGUUGUCGAUGUACACAGGGUUUAUAGUCUGUUGGACGACAGUCGACGGGAUGAUAAAUUAAAUUGUGAUCUAUAUCGGACAUAUUGCGAAAAGCAUUAUCGAUCCGUCAUUGUGUUUCAAGUUAGGCAACGCGAUACAGAUAUCAAAGUUAUGAGUCCCAGUAUCAUCGAGGAAGCACAUACGAUGGACAAUGUGUCUCGAUUAUAAUUGAAACAGAGUUCCUUGUCGUUGCAUCUCCUGAAAAGGGAAUAAAAGCGGAAUAUUGAAAAAUAAACGGAUAUGUACGCAUGCGGUGAAUAACGAAGUGUUCGAUCAAAUUGCCGUCUGCGAUCCGACGGUCGUUAAAAAUAAAUUAUCUCCGGAAUAAAUUUAAUAAAUAUAUCCGCGCGAUCCUCUCUCUCUCUCGUUUGCGCGCGCGAAUCAAUAUAUCGCGUAUAUGUAAAAUUGUAACUCGUAAUUGAAUAAAAUUCAAUCCGCAGCGGAAUAUUACUCACCACUUCUCGAUGAAUAUCACCACGAGGCCGGUGAUGAUUUUAUCGAGGAACGUGACGAUAGAAUACACGAGCGCGCUGCGUUCCGUUCUGGAGCCGAUUAAUUCGGCGGUGACGCUCAAUGCGGUGACCAUCGUAAUGGAGCUUCCCGCGCCAAUUAAUACGGCGAUGACGUAGACGACCGUCGUGUUACCCGCGACAAAUUCCGUCACCACCGACGCCGUUAAGCCGACCGUGGCUCCGAGAAGAUAGCACACCUAUUUUCGAUUCGACGAAACGAAAAUACAGAUUCAUUUUUCUCCUUUUUAUUUUCCUCUCCUUAUUUUACCCUCUUAAAUUGAAUCACGGCAAAAGUCAUUGAAUAAUCCUUCUGUCAUUUGCAUAAUUCUUCAUCAACGUGUAGAUGGGAUUUUUCAUAUAUUUCACUACGGACAAUUUAUUCUUUAUCAUCUGCUAGACAACACACAUUAUUGUUUUCUCUCUUUAUAUUUUACAAAGUUUCUAAAUAUAAAAGCUUUUGUACUCCAGACAAAGAAAAAUUGCAUUACGUUUUUAACAUUUAAAAUUGCAUUUGGAUUCUCGGGUAUUCAUCGAGCAUUGACAGAAGGAUUAAAUUGGCAAAGGAUUAAAAAAUGUCGAACGUCGAUGAAACAUUCACUGACCUACGGUGAAAACGCUCACAUUUUCUUUUUUUUCGUCUUAUAUCUCACGGAUUACGACAAUCAAAUUUCGUACAACAACUAAAAUUCAAACGAAGAAUAUACACAUAUUAUGCUUUUUUAUUUUAAGUCACAAACAUGUGAUAAAAUGAAUGAGACGUGUGUUUCAUUGAACUUGGAUAUUUCUUCAACAAAAUAUAUCGUUAUAAAUUUAAGGAUAUAACUUUCACUUUACUUUUAGACAGCUAUGACUGAAAACAUACUGCUCUGUCAGUACUAAUGCACUGACUCCAUUUAAGAGGGUGUCAUCAAAGACUUACCUUGGUACCGCAACUUCUGUUGAUGUAUUUAAGUAGCAAAGCAGCCACAAAUGAGGAUACGUACGAGACUAAUGGCACAGUGGCUAACGCUUGCUUGCCUCCGAUUUCGGUCUCCUCUAUAUACAGAGGCAGGUAUACGGUGCUGAGAGUGAUGAAUAAUCUACUUGCUACGUAGAGCAUCGCGACUCUCAAUAAAAUCGAGAUACCGAUCCAUGAUAUUCGAUGGUUCGUCAAAUUGUCCAAUGAAAUCGGCUCCUCGAUGUUCGCUUUCGAGGACGUUGCUCGCUCCAGAAGGUUCGCUUUCAGAAAAAUGUGAAAAAAGACUGUCGCGGUGACGCCGAGAGUCGUGAGAACCAGAACGAUAUUCUGAAAGAUAUAAAAUUCAAUUCUACAAUUUACAAGUUACAAUUUCUUUGUUGGCGCACGCAACUUCUAUCAACGUACUCUGAAUUUAUAAUCGUCCUGCUGAUCCAACUGAACCAUCGACUCUCCAUUACUUGAUAGAAAGAGAAGGAGAGAGAAAAGAGAAUGCUACAAUUCACAUACCUUAUUGCGGUCAAAUCGGCUCGAGCCAAGAGAGAAUUAGUUAACGAGGGAAUCAUUGAUAGAUGAGAGAUCUGUACGGCUGCCCAACCCGUUUGAAAUAUUGUAAUACUCGUUAUGUACAAAAACAUGGCAGUGGUAGGGGAUGAAUUGGAGAAAACCGCCGAAUAUUAUGGGAAAGGACAGAGUGACCAUGAUGGAACGAGGACGUGCCAGAUCUUUUUCUUGCAGUAAUGAUCGACCAGGAAACCAAACACGGGUGUCGCAAUCGCGUCGAUGAUUUGUCCUUGAAUGAAAAUCGUUUCGACAUUAAUCAGUAGCUAACGAUGUAAGAUAACGUCGUUAUUUAUACGUGUGUACGAAUAAUUGGACGCGUACCUAGGAGUAAAAGCGCACCGGCGACGACGGGUUUUAACAAUGCCACUCGUUGAAGAUAAAUUAGGGUAUAAGAGAACCACAUUGCGGCUGCCAAAUCGUUGAAGACGUGUCCAAGAGCAUAAGCGAGUUUUGUGGACGUCGCUAUUUUUCCGCUGUCCACGAGACGCGUUCGUUCGUUGGCGUUAUCCAUUUUAUUUUCUUUUUUUAAGACCCUGCGUAUUUUACAGGCUGUAGAGAUGAUGAAAACUUUCACAAUUCCGGUGAAUCCAUCAUGUUAUUCCGAUUUGUCGCGAAAAGUAAUAUCGCGUCCUCGUAAUAUCUGCGGGAAAAUGAAAUCAGGAUAAAUAAGAUGGAAAUUAAAAUCUAAUAAGAAGUUUCGCGCGGGAAAGAAACAUUUCUGAUCCAAUAUAGCGCGGAUUAAAAGAUUAAGGGUAUAACAAGUUCGAAACUUAAAUAGCAAAGAUUUCUUUUACUUUGUACGAUAACCAAAAGAAAUGUCUAUCGACGUUGGUUCUGUCUAAGGCAAACCUGCGGUCAACGUUCCUUUCACUUAAUUAGAUUUUGCUGCAAGCUAUUUUCCCUUAGGAGAAUUUCUCGUUAGGAGUUCGACUAAUCACAGUUGCGUGAUUAGUUAUGGAUUAGUUUACGAAAAGCAGAUGUGUAUCAGCGUACCGUAAUAUCACACGAGGGAUUAAAUAUAGAUCGUGUAUCGAUAAUAGCAUGUAUCAUUACAAUAAUGACGUCAAUUCGACCCAAUUGUUCAACAUAUGACUCAUUAAGAGUGACAUGUAAUUACAGGAAAAUUCAAUUGAAAAAAAACUCUGACACAAAAAUUGCAAAAUAA
Nylanderia fulva is the source of this 3456-nucleotide non-coding RNA. The record is from RefSeq and is a predicted model, not a curated record. NCBI's taxonomy places the organism in Eukaryota, Metazoa, Arthropoda, Insecta, Hymenoptera, Formicidae.